UAAUGCUUCUUGCGCAACAGAUACUUAUUUCUUUAAUAAAAAAGGAAACCCUCUUCAUGGUUUAAAAAAUAAACAGUCUAUGUAAUUACUAAACCCAUAAGACAGAUUUCCGAAGAAAGAAAAAAAAAUUAAGCGUUUGAUUAAUUUCUUAAAAAUAAAUUGGACAUUUAUUCUGAAGAUAACUUUAUGUUUUGGUAGUUAAAAAAUAGAUUUUGCAACGUAACAUGAUCAAUUAUUUCCUUCUCUUUAUGUGCCACCUCUGGUUAACACUUUUUGAAAGUCUGUAAUUCAUACUAACCGACGUAUCAAUUUCAUUAGUAAUUCAAGGGCCGGAAAAGUGACAAUUAUAUUGGAAACUAAUCAGUAAAUCGCAUCCGGACUCACGCCUAUAAAAUAAGUGAGACUUUUCUCAUGGAUUCAGUAUAACUUUAGUACACGAUGAGAAACCUAAUCAUUUGUAGCUUGGCUUUAGCCUUUGUCGCCUUUUCUUUAACCGAGGCUGCGACCACGACCAGUUCGCCUCCACCAACUCACUAUACCCCAAAACCUCCAAGGUGUCCUUAUCCAUCAGACGUCAUAACUUUCCUUCCUUUUGAUGGAGAUUGCACCAAAUAUUGGGAGUGUUACAAGGGCAACAGUUACCUCUACCAGUGUCCUGGAGGACUUUGGUGGCAUCAAACAAUCAGCGUGUGUGACCAUCCCGGAGAUUACUGCGCUCAAAAUUAAAUUGAAAGAAAAAUGUUGUCAGUAGUAUUGUCACGAUCAUGGAAUUAGCUUUGUUUUUGAAAAAUAAAUAAAAUAUAUUUAAAGCAAUAAUAA
Tribolium castaneum (red flour beetle) is the source of this 819-nucleotide RNA transcript. RefSeq lists it as uncharacterized. The record is from RefSeq and is a predicted model, not a curated record. NCBI's taxonomy places the organism in Eukaryota, Metazoa, Arthropoda, Insecta, Coleoptera, Tenebrionidae. The transcript is spliced from 3 exons.